UUUAAGAAGGUGUCUAGGGAUGU
Molecule: non-coding RNA, 23 nt
Filed under: Rattus norvegicus (Norway rat)
Lineage: Eukaryota; Metazoa; Chordata; Mammalia; Rodentia; Muridae
Source: RNAcentral